GAAGGUAUAGCUCAAGUGGUAGAGCACAUACUUAGCAUACAUGAGGUCCUGGGCUCAAUCCCUAGGACCUUCU
Molecule: transfer RNA, 73 nt
Filed under: Camelus bactrianus (Bactrian camel)
Lineage: Eukaryota; Metazoa; Chordata; Mammalia; Artiodactyla; Camelidae
Also listed under: 3 other names
Rfam family: tRNA
About the family: Transfer RNA (tRNA) molecules are approximately 80 nucleotides in length. Their secondary structure includes four short double-helical elements and three loops (D, anti-codon, and T loops).
Source: Rfam by way of RNAcentral